GGGUGUGAGAGUGAUCUGGCUGAAACAUCUGCCAUUCCAUUGAUUGCCAUUUUUUUUUUUUUUUUCUUCCGGCUGACUAGGCUAGGGUCUCCUUUCUUCCUUACCUCUCCACACACAUCUCUUCUCAGCUGCCUGCCCUAUCAAAGAAGGCAUGCUUCUCUAACAGGGUGGCCCAUUUCUUCAGAGAAUAUACUUAUUAUCAGGAAAAUAAGCCAAUUUUGACUCAAAAGGUCCCUAAAU
This 240-nucleotide small RNA is filed under the name Vicugna pacos (alpaca). Its description in RNAcentral is "7SK RNA (ENSVPAG00000017865.1)". The stretch from base 1 to 188 matches the Rfam family "7SK RNA". Rfam says of the family: 7SK was discovered as an abundant small nuclear RNA in the mid-70s but a possible function has only recently been suggested. Two independent studies have found that 7SK RNA binds the CDK9/cyclin T complex (known as elongation factor P-TEFb). Lineage: Eukaryota; Metazoa; Chordata; Mammalia; Artiodactyla; Camelidae. The record is from RNAcentral.